Molecule: ribosomal RNA, 492 nt
Filed under: uncultured bacterium
Lineage: Bacteria
Description: partial 16S ribosomal RNA
Rfam family: Bacterial small subunit ribosomal RNA
Source: RNAcentral
AGUGAACGCUGGCGGUAGGCCUAACACAUGCAAGUCGAACGGCAGCACAGUAAGAGCUUGCUCCUACGGGUGGCGAGUGGCGGACGGGUGAGGAAUACAUCGGAAUCUACUUUUUCGUGGGGGAUAACGUAGGGAAACUUACGCUAAUACCGCAUACGACCUACGGGUGAAAGCAGGGGAUCUUCGGACCUUGCGCGAUUGAAUGAGCCGAUGUCGGAUUAGCUAGUUGGCGGGGUAAAGGCCCACCAAGGCGACGAUCCGUAGCUGGUCUGAGAGGAUGAUCAGCCACACUGGAACUGAGACACGGUCCAGACUCCUACGGGAGGCAGCAGUGGGGAAUAUUGGGCAAUGGGCGCAAGCCUGAUCCAGCCAUACCGCGUGGGUGAAGAAGGCCUUCGGGUUGUAAAGCCCUUUUGUUGGGAAAGAAAAGCAGCAGGUUAAUACCCCGCUGUUCUGACGGUACCCAAAGAAUAAGCACCGGCUAACUUCGUG